Molecule: unclassified non-coding RNA, 402 nt
Filed under: soil metagenome
Description: partial contains 5.8S ribosomal RNA, internal transcribed spacer 2, and large subunit ribosomal RNA
Rfam family: 5.8S ribosomal RNA (bases 1-121)
Source: RNAcentral
GAUGAAGAACGCAGUGAAAUGCGAUAAGUAAUGUGAAUUGCAGAAUUCAGUGAAUCAUCGAAUCUUUGAACGCACCUUGCGCCCUUUGGCUAUUCUGAAGGGCAUGCCUGUUUGAGUAUCGUGAACACCUCAACUCUCAUGGUCUGCCAUGAUGAGCUUGGACUUUGGGGGUCUUGCUGGCCUACUGUCAGCUCCUCUCAAAUGAAUCAGCUUACCAGUGUUUGGUGGCACCACAGGUGUGAUAACUAUCUACGCUUGUGGUUUUCUGCCAGGUAACCUCCAGUGAUGGAGGUUCGCUGGAGCUCACAAAUGUCUCUCCUCAGCGAGGACAGCUUUUUGAACGUUUGAUCUCAAAUCAGGUAGGACUACCCGCUGAACUUAAGCAUAUCAAUAAGCGGACGA